CGUGGUUUGAAGGCUAUCGCCUACAACAUGUAUUAUUGGAGCUACCUAGCGUCGCGUUUGUUCGGCCUCACAACUUUCUUGCCUCCUCCACACUCCUGCUCUGCUCUGUCGUCUCGCAUAACCUCAAAGCGAGACACUCACUGCACUGAGUUCCUCUAACUGGAUCCGGGAGGUCAGUGCAAGUUUGGGCCUUGUUGGGAAUCGCCACCCUCCAGCGAGACCCCAGAACGUCACACUCGGUGUACUCAAAGUGAUAAUCUGACUACACGGAGAAGACAAACAGCUUCUCCUACGACUAAAAAAAGGGCGAGGAAAACUGGACUCGUUUUUCACCGUUUUCCUGCAUGGAGGACCAAAUAUCAGAUCACGAAGGCACGACGGAUGGCUGGGGCGCAGCGGUUCGUUGGAAAAGCAUUUCUCUUGAUCAUAUUUCUGCUGGAAUGAGAGUGUAUUCCCCUCAUCUCUACUCUUGAAAACCUGCAUAUGAAAUGCUGACAACACAUCCCAAUAGGGAAUGGGACGUACUACGUCAUUGUUUGGACGCGCCUCCAUGCUGGCAAUAUGAUUCACUUCCGGGUCGGCAGACUCAAUGUGAGUUGUAACGUGUGGUCGUGCUAAGCUAACUCUUUCGGUGUUUUAGAAAGAAAUUAUGGGUGUGUAUUGUUGUGUUACCGGGUGCAACAGCUUCUCCUACGACUAAAAAAAGGGCGAGGAAAACUGGACUCACUUUUCACCGUUUUCCUGCAUGGAGGACCAAAUAUCAGAUCACGAAGGCACGACUGAUGGCUGGAUUGCAGCGGUUCGUCGGAAAAGCAUUUCUUAUGAUCAUAUUUCUGCUGGAAUGAGAGUAUUCCCCUCAUCUCUACUCUUGAAAACCUGCAUAUGAAAUGCUGACAACACAUCUCGAUUGGUCACCAUAUCUCUUCUUGGGUUAUUCUGAGGUCAAGCGCAGCACAUCGGAGCGUUAUGAGAGGUUGGAAAGGCGAAGAGUGCACGCUGAAACUUCAGUUUGCUCUGCUCUUACAAACACGAUCCCAAGUGUUGUUGUGAAAAGUCAAUAAAAUAUGAAUACCAAAACAUGACUUGAACAACUUCUUGACAAACUGUAACUGCUUGUUGUUUACUUCAGGUCUUCAUAAUAAACAGGUGUAAUAAUUACAAAGUCAGGUGACUUAAUUUUGUUAUUCUAUUUGGAAUAUGCAUUGACAAUUUUUGGACAGUGUUGUAGACAAGAACUGGGACUGAUAAGUUGCAAUAGAUUUAUUUCAAGUAAUGCAAUUUCUCCAAUACGAUAUUU
Corythoichthys intestinalis (scribbled pipefish) is the source of this 1297-nucleotide long non-coding RNA. RefSeq lists it as uncharacterized. NCBI's taxonomy places the organism in Eukaryota, Metazoa, Chordata, Actinopteri, Syngnathiformes, Syngnathidae. The record is from RefSeq and is a predicted model, not a curated record. The transcript has 5 exons.